AGAGGAGCGGGAAGAAGAAAGGGCCAAAAGAUGACAGAAAAUGUGUGCUACAACAACAUGACCCCAGCAAGCAAGAUUAUUUCUGUGCACUGAUAGGAAAAGGAAGCAAGCCAUGAGUGCCUGUUGAAGCUGGAAAAGCAAGAUUGAUGUUGAGGCUUGAUUGAAGGAGUGCAAGGUCACUCACAGAAGAAGUCAUGGUGCAAGAGUACAUCUCAAUCCUGCCCUAGCCUGGAAACAGCAUGCUCUGCUGCAUUUGCAUGCCCAAGGCACUGCUUGUCCUAAGCCCCAUCCUAGAAACUCUCUAUAGCUUUAUUUCCCUUAAGAAGGUAGAAAAACAUCAACAACCUAUCCGUACUAGCUGAAUGGCCUCUAGGCCUAUUGGGCAAGUACACCCAGAUGAGCAUCACUCUUAAGUGGCUGCUUCAGGUCAAGGUCUUUUGUGUUGGGGCAGCUGCAAACUGGCCUCUUUGGCUAUCCCAAGACCCUCUAAGUCCAAGGAGCUUUCAAC
This 508-nucleotide long non-coding RNA is filed under the name Homo sapiens (human). RNAcentral describes it as "HSALNT0329048". The record is from RNAcentral. Lineage: Eukaryota; Metazoa; Chordata; Mammalia; Primates; Hominidae.